RNAcentral lists this ribosomal RNA (291 nucleotides) under uncultured bacterium. Its description in RNAcentral is "partial 16S ribosomal RNA". It matches the Rfam family "Bacterial small subunit ribosomal RNA", at positions 29 to 334 of the family's 1533-position model. The record is from RNAcentral.
AACGAACGCUGGCGGCACGCUUAACACAUGCAAGUCGAACGAAGCUUCUACUUCGGUAGAAGACUGAGUGGCGGACGGGUGAGUAACGCGUGGGUAUCUGCCUUGUGGUGGGGGAUAACUGAGGGAAACUUCAGCUAAUACCGCAUACGCCCUUCGGGGGAAAGAACUUAUUUGCCAUAAGAGGAGCCCGCGUAAGAUUAGGUAGUUGGUAGGGUAAUGGCCUACCAAGCCGAUGAUCUUUAGCUGGUUUGAGAGGAUGAUCAGCCACACUGGGACUGAGACACGGCCCAG